UUGACGGGGCCCGGCACAAGCGGUGGAGCAUGUGGUUAAUUUCGACGCAACGCGCAGAACCUUACCUGGGCUUGACAUCCCGAUCGCACUUUCUGGAACCAGAGAGGGUCAGUUCGGCUGGAUCGGUGACAGGUGCUGCAUGGCUGUCGUCAGCUCGUGUCGUGAGAUGUUGGGUUAAGUCCCGCAACGAGCGCAACCCUCGUCCUUAGUUGCCAGCAUUAAGUUGGGCACCCUAAGGAGACUGCCGGUGUUAAACCGGAGGAAGGCGGGGAUGACGUCAAGUCCUCAUGGCCCUUAUGUCCAGGGCUACACACGUGCUACAAUGGCCGGUACAAAGGGUAGCAAGACCGCGAGGUGGAGCCAAUCCCAAAAAGCCGGUCUCAGUUCGGAUUGGAGUCUGCAACUCGACUCCAUGAAGUUGGAAUCGCUAGUAAUCGUGGAUCAGCAUGCCACGGUGAAUACGUUCCCGGGCCUU
RNAcentral lists this ribosomal RNA (475 nucleotides) under uncultured Desulfuromonas sp. Its description in RNAcentral is "bacterial SSU rRNA". It matches the Rfam family "Bacterial small subunit ribosomal RNA", at positions 910 to 1382 of the family's 1533-position model. Lineage: Bacteria; Pseudomonadati; Thermodesulfobacteriota; Desulfuromonadia; Desulfuromonadales; Desulfuromonadaceae. The record is from RNAcentral.